RNAcentral lists this ribosomal RNA (484 nucleotides) under uncultured bacterium. Its description in RNAcentral is "partial 16S ribosomal RNA". It matches the Rfam family "Bacterial small subunit ribosomal RNA", at positions 28 to 523 of the family's 1533-position model. The record is from RNAcentral.
GACGAACGCUGGCGGCGUGCUUAACACAUGCAAGUCGAACGAUGAAGCCGGAGCUUGCUCUGGUGAAUUAGUGGCGAACGGGUGAGUAACACGUGAGUAACCUGCCCUUGACUCUGGGAUAACUGCUAGAAAUGGUAGCUAAUACCGGAUACGACCCUAGGAGGCAUCUCCAGGGGGUGGAAAGAAUUUCGGUCAAGGAUGGACUCGCGGCCUAUCAGCUAGUUGGUGAGGUAACGGCUCACCAAGGCGACGACGGGUAGCCGGCCUGAGAGGGUGACCGGCCACACUGGGACUGAGACACGGCCCAGACUCCUACGGGAGGCAGCAGUGGGUAAUAUUGCACAAUGGGCGCAAGCCUGAUGCAGCAACGCCGCGUGAGGGAUGACGGCCUUCGGGUUGUAAACCUCUUUUAGUAGGGAAGAAGCGAAAGUGACGGUACCUGCAGAAAAAGCACCGGCUAACUACGUGCCAGCCGCCGCAGUAA